AAAAAAAAACCCUAACUGUAAAUAUUAUUUGGAGAUACGUGAUCAUUUAACACACGGGUGUUAAGUUCAUUCUUGCUGCAAAAGAAGGCCAUUGUACCUCCUGACCCUGAAAGCAAGAUGAAGUCACUGAGACACCAAAGGUUAAUUGCUUGCCCAAAGCCAUGUAGCAACUUGGUUGAAGUUACUUUAGUGUCGAAAGCUCCACAUAUGUGCU
RNAcentral lists this long non-coding RNA (214 nucleotides) under Homo sapiens (human). RNAcentral's name for it is "non-protein coding LINC01117:6". The record is from RNAcentral. Lineage: Eukaryota; Metazoa; Chordata; Mammalia; Primates; Hominidae.